Molecule: ribosomal RNA, 295 nt
Filed under: uncultured microorganism
Description: partial 16S ribosomal RNA
Rfam family: Bacterial small subunit ribosomal RNA
Source: RNAcentral
GAGUUUGAUCUUGGCUCAGGAUGAACGUUAGCGGCGUGCCUAACACAUGCAAGUCGAACGAACAGCCAGAAUCUUAGGAAUCUGGCGGGUUAGUGGCGCACGGGUGAGUAACACGUAGGUGACCUGCCCCGAAGUGGGGGACAACCACUGGAAACAGUGGCUAAUACCGCAUGUGCUUAGCCAUUCGGUUGGUUAAGUAAAGCUGAGGCGCUUCGGGAGGGCCUGCGGUCGAUUAGCUAGUUGGUGAGGUAAUGGCUCACCAAGGCGAUGAUCGAUAGGGGGCGUGAGAGCGUGA